GUCUCAGUACAAGCCAAAUUAAGGUGAAACCGCGAAAGGCUCAUUAAAUCAGUUAUGGUUCCUUAGAUCGUACCCACAAUUACUUGGAUAACUGUGGUAAUUCUAGAGCUAAUACAUGCAAACAGAGCUCCGACCGGAGACGGAAGGAGUGCUUUUAUUAGAUCAAAACCAAUCGGUGGCGAGUUCGCUCGUCAUCGUACAACUUGGUGACUCUGAAUAACUUUACGCUGAUCGCACGGUCUCGCACCGGCGACGCAUCUUUCAAAUGUCUGCCUUAUCAACUGUCGAUGGUAGGUUCUGCGCCUACCAUGGUUGUAACGGGUAACGGGGAAUCAGGGUUCGAUUCCGGAGAGGGAGCCUGAGAAACGGCUACCACAUCCAAGGAAGGCAGCAGGCGCGCAAAUUACCCACUCCCGGCACGGGGAGGUUGUGACGAAAAAUAACGAUACGGGACUCAUCCGAGGCCCCGUAAUCGGAAUGAGUACACUCUAAACCCUUUAACGAGGAUCAAUUGGAGGGCAAGUCUGGUGCCAGCAGCCGCGGUAAUUCCAGCUCCAAUAGCGUAUAUUAAAGUUGUUGCGGUUAAAAAGCUCGUAGUCGAAUUUGUGUCUCGUGCCGCUGGUUCAUCGUCCGCGGUGUUAACUGGCGAGUCGCGAGACGUCCUGCCGGUGGGCUUAGCUCGCAAGGGCGGCCCAACUCAAUCCUGCCGCGGUGCUCUUCACUGAGUGUCGAGGUGGGCCGGCACGUUUACUUUGAACAAAUUAGAGUGCUUAAAGCAGGCUAAAACUUCGCCUGAAUACUGUGUGCAUGGAAUAAUGGAAUAGGACCUCGGUUCUAUUUUGUUGGUUUUCGGAACCCCGAGGUAAUGAUUAAUAGGAACGGAUGGGGGCAUUCGUAUUGCGACGUUAGAGGUGAAAUUCUUGGAUCGUCGCAAGACGGACAGAAGCGAAAGCAUUUGCCAAAAACGCUUUCAUUGAUCAAGAACGAAAGUUAGAGGUUCGAAGGCGAUCAGAUACCGCCCUAGUUCUAACCAUAAACGAUGCCAGCUAGCGAUCCGUCGACGUUCCUCCGAUGACUCGACGGGCAGCUUCCGGGAAACCAAAGCUUUUGGGUUCCGGGGGAAGUAUGGUUGCAAAGCUGAAACUUAAAGGAAUUGACGGAAGGGCACCACCAGGAGUGGAGCCUGCGGCUUAAUUUGACUCAACACGGGAAACCUCACCAGGCCCGGACACCGGAAGGAUUGACAGAUUGAGAGCUCUUUCUUGAUUCGGUGGGUGGUGGUGCAUGGCCGUUCUUAGUUGGUGGAGCGAUUUGUCUGGUUAAUUCCGAUAACGAACGAGACUCUAGCCUGCUAACUAGGCGUAUUUUGACAUCCUAAAGGCCCGCCGGCUUGGGGUUCGCUCCUUGUCGCGCGCGGUUUUUACUGUCGCGGUACAAACAAUUCUUUUUAGAGGGACAGGCGGCUUCUANCCGCACGAGAUUGAGCAAUAACAGGUCUGUGAUGCCCUUAGAUGUUCUGGGCCGCACGCGCGCUACACUGAAGGAAUCAGCGUGUCCUCCCUGGCCGAGUGGCCCGGGUAACCCGCUGAACCUCCUUCGUGCUAGGGAUUGGGGCUUGCAAUUGUUCCCCAUGAACGAGGAAUUCCCAAU
This 1650-nucleotide ribosomal RNA is filed under the name Leptopius sp. ENN01. RNAcentral's name for it is "SSU rRNA". It matches the Rfam family "Eukaryotic small subunit ribosomal RNA", at positions 57 to 1618 of the family's 1831-position model. Lineage: Eukaryota; Metazoa; Arthropoda; Insecta; Coleoptera; Curculionidae. The record is from RNAcentral.